AAAUGAAUAGACGGGGGCCCGCACAAGCAGCGGAGCAUGUGGUUUAAUUCGAAGCAACGCGAAGAACCUUACCAGGUCUUGACAUCCAGUAAAAGCUGUAGAGAUACAGUGUGCCUUCGGGCAUACUGAGACAGGUGGUGCAUGGUUGUCGUCAGCUCGUGUCGUGAGAUGUUGGGUUAAGUCCCGCAACGAGCGCAACCCUUGCUAAUAGUUACUAACGGAUAACGCCGAGGACUCUAUUGGGACUGCCGUGGACAACACGGAGGAAGGUGGGGACGACGUCAAAUCAUCAUGCCCCUUAUGACCUGGGCUACACACGUGCUACAAUGGUCGCAACAAAGAGAAGCGAGGGCGCAAGCCGGAGCGGAUCUCAAAAAAGCGGUCUCAGUUCGGAUUGUGGGCUGCAACCCGCCCACAUGAAGCAGGAGUUGCUAGUAAUCGCGAAUCAGCAUGUCGCGGUGAAUACGUUCCCGGGCCUUGUACACACCGCCCGU
RNAcentral lists this ribosomal RNA (494 nucleotides) under uncultured bacterium. RNAcentral describes it as "bacterial SSU rRNA". It matches the Rfam family "Bacterial small subunit ribosomal RNA", at positions 903 to 1397 of the family's 1533-position model. The record is from RNAcentral.